UCGGAGACGGUGCUCGUGCGGGCGGUGAUGCGACACGCUUAUCCGAAAGACUCUCGGCAACGGAUAUCUCGGCUCUUGCAUCGAUAAGAACGUAGCGAAAUGCGAUACUUGGUGUGAAUUGCAGAAUCCCGUGAACCAUCGAGUCUUUGAACGCAAGUUGCGCCCGAAGCCAUUAGGCUGAGGGCACGCCUGCCUGGGUGUCGCCCAUCGUUGCCCCAUUGCUUUGGCCUCGUGCUAGGCACCGAGCUGGGUGAAUGCUGGCUUCCCGCGAGCAACGCCUCACGGUUGGUUGAAAACUGAGUCCGUGGUGGAGGGCGGUGCCGUGACGGAUGGUGGCUGUU
This 341-nucleotide ribosomal RNA is filed under the name Crotalaria cleomifolia. RNAcentral describes it as "5.8S ribosomal RNA". The stretch from base 49 to 203 matches the Rfam family "5.8S ribosomal RNA". The record is from RNAcentral. Lineage: Eukaryota; Viridiplantae; Streptophyta; Magnoliopsida; Fabales; Fabaceae.